Molecule: long non-coding RNA, 721 nt
Organism: Melospiza melodia melodia
Lineage: Eukaryota; Metazoa; Chordata; Aves; Passeriformes; Passerellidae
Exons: 3
Source: RefSeq, a predicted model, not a curated record
GCCAUGAGCUGCCCCUGGCCGCAGCCCCCUAGCCUGCCGGCACAGCCGUGCGAUGGCGGGUAACCGGGUUGGAAACGGAGAGAUGAACAGCGGAGCCAGAAAGGUCCUAGCAGCUGAUCCUGAGUGGUCUGUACCAUGUGCCUUCAAGAUGCCUUGGGAGUUUGACAUUUGAAAAUUCACUAGACAGGCUUCAGAGCCUUUGAAAAUGUCAGAUCCAUGUGGAGUAUUAUCUGCUCAGAAGAGGAACAAUUUCUGCUGGUAGUGGCAUUUGUGAAGAGUUGGGACUACAUGCAUCACCCCUGCAAAGUAGAUUUCCAUUGACUUCAGAGAGAGUGGGAAGAUAAGGACAGACCUCUUAGAAUAUUGUACAGGAAGAACUGAAAAGAUUUUUCUGGAUGUUUGAGCAACAGACAACAGAGAAGCUCAGACUGCAUAGUUUGUGGAAUAGGAAUCUGAUGUUUCCUUGAUAUGCUCUGCCUUUUGGACUGGUGUUUCAAAUAGUAACUGUAAAUGCUGACUUGUGAUGAGUGCUGACUUUACUUGAUGCCUUCUCUGGUACUGCACUGUAAGUCAUCAUUUAAAUACAUAGCUUGAAAUAAAAAUAUUUCGAUGCAUUAUUUGCAUUUUCAAUGCACUACUUCAGUAUUUCAAAAGCUUUUCUCUUCAAUAAUUGAAAAUAAUAAGCAGGACUUUUAUGUGAGGUGAUUUCUGCUUUCUUGCA